Molecule: ribosomal RNA, 824 nt
Filed under: Alkalibacillus salilacus
Lineage: Bacteria; Bacillati; Bacillota; Bacilli; Caryophanales; Bacillaceae
Description: bacterial SSU rRNA
Rfam family: Bacterial small subunit ribosomal RNA
Source: RNAcentral
CGGAUUUUCCUUUGUAGCGGUGAAAAUGUGUAGAUAUGUGGACGGAACACCAGUUGGCGAAAGGCGGCUCUGUUGGUCUGUAACUGACGCUGAGGCGCGAAAGCAUGGGUAGCGAACAGGAUUAGAUACCCUGGUAGUCCAUGCCGUAAACGUUGAGUGCUAGGUGUUAGGGGGUCCAACCCUUAGUGCUGCAGUUAAUGCAAUAAGCACUCCGCCUGGGGAGUACGGCCGCAAGGCUGAAACUCAAAGGAAUUGACGGGGGCCUGCACAAGCGGUGGAGCAUGUGGUUUAAUUUGACGCAACGCGAAGAACCUUACCAGGUCUUGACAUCUUCGGACAGCCCAAGAGAUUGGGUCUUCCCUUCGGGGACCGAAUGACAGGUGGUGCAUGGUUGUCGUCAGCUCGUGUCGUGAGAUGUUGGGUUAAGUCCCGUAACGAGCGCAACCCCUGAUCUUAGUUGCCAGCAUUGAGUUGGGCACUCUAGGAUGACUGCCGGUGACAAACCGGAGGAAGGCGGGGAUGACGUCAAAUCAUCAUGCCCCUUAUGACCUGGGCUACACACGUGCUACAAUGGAUGGUACAAAGGGAAGCCAAACCGCGAGGUCGAGCUAAUCCCAUAAAGCCAUUCUCAGUUCGGAUUGUAGGCUGCAACUCGCCUGCAUGAAGCCGGAAUCGCUAGUAAUCGCGGAUCAGAAUGCCGCGGUGAAUACGUUCCCAGGCCUUGUACACACCGCCCGUCACACCACGAGAGUUGGCAACACCCGAAGUCCGGUUAGGGUAACGAUACACGGAGCACAGCCACCGUAUAGUGUGCCAAAAUUCGC